This 773-nucleotide long non-coding RNA is filed under the name Sus scrofa (pig). RNAcentral's name for it is "lncRNA (ENSSSCG00045009263.1)". The record is from RNAcentral. Lineage: Eukaryota; Metazoa; Chordata; Mammalia; Artiodactyla; Suidae.
AUGGAUUGGAGGGUAUUUUGCCAUAAACAUUUUUUUUUGUUUUUGUUUUGUUUUGUUUUUCUUUUUAGGGCCACACCCCAGGCAUAUGGAGGUUCCCAGGCUAGGGGUAAAUUAGAGCUAGAGCUGCUGGCCUACACCACAGCCACAGCAAUGCAGGAUCUGAGCUGCGUCUGUGACCUACAUCACAGCUCACAGCAAAACCAGAUCCUUAAUCCACUGAGUAAGGCCAGGGAUCGAACUGACAACCUCAUGGUUCCUAGUUGGAUUCGUUUCUGCUGCACCAUGAUGGGAACUCCUUUUUUCCUGGUUUUCUCCUUUCAUCAUAAAGAUGUCAUUAUUCUGUCUCUAACUCACUUGUCAUUUUUUUUUUUCCAGAGAAAAACUUGGCUUUCAUUUCUUGCUCCUUAACAGCCACGGGGCCUCUGAACAUCAGGUGCUUCUUCACAAACGUCAUCAGCUCAUCCAUCUUUCUAGAAAGGAGACAAAUACAAAGCUUUGAAGACCAAAACUCAACAUAUAAUGUCAUAUUAUUUAUACUUCUGACAGUUCCAAUUUUUGUCUUAUUCUUUCUUAUCACCCACACUCUUCUUUGGCUUCUUGCCUUGAACUUUUUCCUCUACUAUGUCACUACUUAGCACCAUCUCCAAUAUCUCUACCUUCCCUUCUACCCAAAUUUUUCUGCAUAGUUAUUAAUAACAUUUUUUUUAUUUUCCCACUGUACAGCAAGGGGAUCAAGUUAUCAUGACAUGUAUACAUUACAAUUACAUUUUUCC